GUGAAACUUGUUUAAAAUUGUAUGCUCUAUUUUAGUUAUGAAAGAAAAAACAUUUGUGUUUCAUGUCCCUUUAAAUCCAUUUAACCAAAAACCUAAUUGUAUUCUUUAUUAGAACUAACAGGUCACAGUGAUGAAAAUCUAGACACAGGAUCACAUGGAGACCUUGUACAUAAUAUUCAGCCAUCAGAUGUCUAUACAGAUGAUAUUAAUACUGACGUAGAUGUUAAAACAGGAGAUCUGAGUGUAACGUGUCAGCUGGAAGCUCCAAUGCAAGAAAUGUGUUACAGUAACAAUGAAGGUAAAUGCAUGUGUGUGACGUGUCUUCUGUUUAUGGGAUAUUGCCUGGUUUUUAUAGCUUAUUGUCUAUAACUACUGUACAUUAUAUCACCAAUCAGGAUACACCGAUAUCACUUUAUAGGAGCAUAAAAUAAAUCUCACAGCGCUA
Molecule: long non-coding RNA, 445 nt
Organism: Bombina bombina (fire-bellied toad)
Lineage: Eukaryota; Metazoa; Chordata; Amphibia; Anura; Bombinatoridae
Exons: 2
Source: RefSeq, a predicted model, not a curated record